This 144-nucleotide ribosomal RNA is filed under the name Triticum aestivum (bread wheat). RNAcentral describes it as "partial small subunit ribosomal RNA". Lineage: Eukaryota; Viridiplantae; Streptophyta; Magnoliopsida; Poales; Poaceae. The record is from RNAcentral.
ACAAAGAGAAUACUCCUUUUAUACAGAAUGGAGCGGGUAGCGGGAAUGGAACCCGCAUCGUUAGCUUGGAAGGCUAGGGGUUAUAGUCGAUGUUGGUUGAUUAUUUUUCACGUCUCUAAUUCAAAACCGAACAUGAAAUUUUGA